RNAcentral lists this ribosomal RNA (253 nucleotides) under uncultured bacterium. Its description in RNAcentral is "partial 16S ribosomal RNA". It matches the Rfam family "Bacterial small subunit ribosomal RNA", at positions 524 to 776 of the family's 1533-position model. The record is from RNAcentral.
UACGUAGGGUGCGAGCGUUGUCCGGAAUUAUUGGGCGUAAAGGGCUCGUAGGCGGUCUGUCGCGUCGGGAGUGAAAACUCAGGGCUUAACCCUGAGCCUGCUUCCGAUACGGGCAGACUAGAGGUAUGCAGGGGAGAACGGAAUUCCUGGUGUAGCGGUGGAAUGCGCAGAUAUCAGGAGGAACACCGGUGGCGAAGGCGGGUCUCUGGACAGUUCCUGACGCUGAGGCACGAAGGUCAGGGGAGCAAACGGG